CCUACGGGAGGCAGCAGUAAGGAAUAUUGGUCAAUGGAGGGUAACUCUGAACCAGCCAUGCCGCGUGCAGGAAGAAGGCCCUAUGGGUCGUAAACUGCUUUUGUACCAGAGAAAACCCGAGUACGUGUACUCGGUUGAUAGUAUGGUAAGAAUAAGCAUCGGCUAACUUCGUGCCAGCAGCCGCGGUGAGACGAAGGAUGCAAGCGUUAUCCGGAUUCAUUGGGUUUAAAGGGUGCGUAGGCGGACUGAUAAGUCAGUGGUGAAAUCUCUCGGCUUAACCGAGAAACUGCCAUUGAUACUGUUAGUCUAGAGUAUAGAUGACGUUGGCGGAAUAUGACAUGUAGUGGUGAAAUACUUAGAUAUGUCAUAGAACACCGAUUGCGAAGGCAGCUAACGAAACUAUAACUGACGCUGAGGCACGAAAGUGCGGGGAUCAAACAGGAUUAGAUACCCUGGUAGUCCGCACCGUAAACGAUGAUUACUCGUUGUUGGCAAUAUGACCGUCAGCGACCAAGCGAAAGCGAUAAGUAAUCCACCUGGGGAGUACGCCGGCAACGGUGAAACUCAAAGGAAUUGACGGCGNGAGAGAGCGAGACGACGACGAGGGAGGAGG
RNAcentral lists this ribosomal RNA (613 nucleotides) under uncultured bacterium. RNAcentral's name for it is "bacterial SSU rRNA". It matches the Rfam family "Bacterial small subunit ribosomal RNA", at positions 338 to 951 of the family's 1533-position model. The record is from RNAcentral.